This 506-nucleotide ribosomal RNA is filed under the name uncultured bacterium. RNAcentral describes it as "partial 16S ribosomal RNA". It matches the Rfam family "Bacterial small subunit ribosomal RNA", at positions 29 to 523 of the family's 1533-position model. The record is from RNAcentral.
AGUGAACGCUGGCGGUAGGCCUAACACAUGCAAGUCGAACGGCAGCACAGGAGAGCUUGCUCUCUGGGUGGCGAGUGGCGGACGGGUGAGGAAUACAUCGGAAUCUACUUUUUCGUGGGGGAUAACGUAGGGAAACUUACGCUAAUACCGCAUACGACCUACGGGUGAAAGCAGGGGAUCUUCGGACCUUGCGCGAUUGAAUGAGCCGAUGUCGGAUUAGCUAGUUGGCGGGGUAGAGGCCCACCAAGGCGACGAUCCGUAGCUGGUCUGAGAGGAUGAUCGGCCACACUGGAACUGAGACACGGUCCAGACUCCUACGGGAGGCAGCAGUGGGGAAUAUUGGACAAUGGGCGCAAGCCUGAUCCAGCCAUACCGCGUGGGUGAAGAAGGCCUUCGGGUUGUAAAGCCCUUUUGUUGGGAAAGAAAUCCAGCUGGUUAAUACCCGGUUGGGAUGACGGUACCCAAAGAACAAGCACCGGCUAACUUCGUGCCAGCCGCCGCGGUAA